GGCGAACGCUGGCGGCGUGCCUAAUACAUGCAAGUUGAGCGAUGAAGAUUGGUGCUUGCACCAAUUUGAAGAGCAGCGAACGGGUGAGUAACGCGUGGGGAAUCUGCCUUUGAGCGGGGGACAACAUUUGGAAACGAAUGCUAAUACCGCAUAAUAACUUUGAACAUAAGUUUUAAGUUUGAAAGAUGCAAUUGCAUCACUCAAAGAUGAUCCCGCGUUGUAUUAGCUAGUUGGUGAGGUAAAGGCUCACCAAGGCGAUGAUACAUAGCCGACCUGAGAGGGUGAUCGGCCACAUUGGGACUGAGACACGGCCCAAACUCCUACGGGAGGCAGCAGUAGGGAAUCUUCGGCAAUGGACGAAAGUCUGACCGAGCAACGCCGCGUGAGUGAAGAAGGUUUUCGGAUCGUAAAACUCUGUUGGUAGAGAAGAACGUUGGUGAGAGUGGAAAGCUCAUCAAGUGACGGUAACUACCCAGAAAGGGACGGCUAACUACGUG
Molecule: ribosomal RNA, 497 nt
Filed under: uncultured bacterium
Lineage: Bacteria
Description: partial 16S ribosomal RNA
Rfam family: Bacterial small subunit ribosomal RNA
Source: RNAcentral